Molecule: ribosomal RNA, 105 nt
Filed under: Salmonella enterica
Lineage: Bacteria; Pseudomonadati; Pseudomonadota; Gammaproteobacteria; Enterobacterales; Enterobacteriaceae
Also listed under: 2 other names
Description: partial 23S ribosomal RNA
Rfam family: Bacterial large subunit ribosomal RNA
Source: RNAcentral
AGUCUCCUGAAGGAACGUUGAAGACGACGACGUUGAUAGGCCGGGUGUGUAAGCGCAGCGAUGCGUUGAGCUAACCGGUACUAAUGAACCGUGAGGCUUAACCCU